This is a long non-coding RNA of Falco peregrinus (peregrine falcon), 3034 nucleotides long. RefSeq lists it as uncharacterized. The record is from RefSeq and is a predicted model, not a curated record. NCBI's taxonomy places the organism in Eukaryota, Metazoa, Chordata, Aves, Falconiformes, Falconidae. The transcript has 3 exons.
ACUUAACCUGCCCUCCCUCCUCCCCGCAAACAUCAUGUUGUUAAGAUCUUAGAGAAGAUUGAAUUGGUCAUUAGCCUUUUCAGCAAGAUGCCUACAAGAAGCAUAUUGGCUGCCUUUUCCUGGAAAAAAAUGGCUGGCAUAAAAACAAAUAGCCUGUGGAUUUGGUUCAUCAGCACCAUGGACAUAUGAUCAAAGACUUGUAUCCAAUUCAGCAUCUUCACUCUAGGCUUUGGGAUAAAUAGACCUCUCCAUUUGCCACUGACGUGUGUGAAGAACAGCUCAUAACAUGAUUGAACUCCAUUGAUUUUUCAUAAAAGUUUAAUAAGAUGAUACAGGUCAAAAGCUCUGCAAAAUUUGCAAUAAAUUCCUGUGGCAAUCUGAACAAGACUUAGUGGGGAGAGAUGACACCAGAAGAAUUUAAAUACACGUUGAAUUAUAUGGAGGGUAGCAAGGACUUGAAACUUUUUGAUUAAUCAUUUUGAACGUUGGACUUCAGAUUAUGAGAUAUAUAAUGUUGUGUACCUUUCCUUGUGUAUGCUUUCUUUUUGUGUAGAGGUUACUUGCACAUAACUGCUUUAGUAGGCAACAGAUCUCAGAAAAAUUCACUCCCCCACAAAAAAAUAGAAAAAAAAAGCCUCAGAUUUACGUGUGAGUAAAUAGUUUUGGGUUUUGCCAUUUUCCCUGAGAUAGUUGACUAACAUUGCAUGAAUGCGUUCAAAUCAGGUGAGGCUCCAGCUGUGCUACAAUUUUCAACCAAGUCCAGGGCACAGCUGUCUAAUAAGUUCCCUGAGCUGGUUGCAGUAUGAGUUAGAUGCCAUUUAAAAACUGGCUGGGCAAAACACAGAAUCAGAUGUCCUCUGGGGUUACAAUACAGAAAACACCUCUACAGGAAGCCUUGGUAGCUCAUCCAAGAGCUUAGAGGUUGUCCCCAGGCCCCGUUGCCUCCUCUGUGGUGGCCUGGGAGCCCUGGCCACCAGUGGGGGAAGCCUGGUGCAGCACAUCACUGCUGCCACGCUCGUGGCUGCAGGCCAGAGUUGCGGGCUGAAGACUGGCCAGGUUGGUCUGAGGAGUUGUCCCUCAUGACAUGAAUUUUUCAUGAACAACAAAACCUUUUUAUGGCUUAACUUUAUUCCCUGAGCUUGCAGGCUGCAGAGGAACAGGAUGUUUACUGUACGUACAGCAGCCGUUGCCACUGAAGAGGGGCUGCCUUUAGGGCAGGCACGGUUCCCUCCUCAGCUGUGCCGCCGUACUUGCAAUGGUGUCAUGGGUCCCGAGGACCUCCAGUGGGAAUGGGGGCUGCGCCUGGGAAGUCUGUGCCUGGCUGUCCUUAUUGCCCUUUCCAGCAGCAGGAGGCAUGCACUUCUUUCUUCCCGUGCUAGUACCUCCUCUCCCCAGCACUGGCAGGUGAGUUGCCGGUUUUUGCUCUCUACACUGAACUCCAGAACUUAGUGCAGCUCUGCUCAGAUGGAGGGAACAGCACAAGGAUUCAAAACCUGGGUUUUGUCCCUGCCACUGAAACACCCCAGGGCUGAUUCAUUCCCUUUUCCUCUCUUUAGCUUGACCAUUUUCUUUGCAAAAAAACCCCACCCAAAACAUCACUCCCACCUUAAAAAGCUUAUACUGCUUUCGGUGGGCUUAGGGCUAGGAAUGCCAUGAGUUAACAUAAGGAUUCCAUUAAAUUCCAGUUUUGCCUUGAGCGAGAUGGGGGUUCCAUACAGUUUUUCAGGGAAGUGCAUGCUAUGUUCCUCCCAAACGCACUGUGAAUAGGUUUUCAUGCAAGUAAGGUGCCGUUUAAUCUCAUCCUCAGGUUUCAGAUACAGGAUGUGGUAAAAGUCUCCUUGUCAUUAGCUGAUGUUUUUGUGUCACAUGUACUACGUAGAUCACUUCAUGAAAAGGUGUGGAAUUUUCUUUUGAAUUCAAAAUCACAAAAUACAGUUUGUUGAGAACACUAAGAAGUUUUUUGCCACAGGUUUUGUGGCAUGGAGCAGUAUCCUAUUAAAGAUAACCAAGAAUACCAACAUUCCUAUGGAUCUAACACACUGAAAAAUGAGCUUUGUGCUCCCUUGAUAGUUGAGCAGUAUGAGAGGGGAGAAUUCAGUGUAUAAAUCUAAACCCCUCUGGAAAACAUUCUUUAUAGCUCCAAUAAAGUCCCCUAGCUACUUCAGUGUUUGCUGUUGACACCAAAGACACCUGAAUAUUCCUUAAUGUACUGAAAUGUCCCAGAGGGUCACCAGUAAGAAUUGCACAUUUUCUGGUGUGGUGCACAGUUUUUAAAGGUUCCUCUCUAUUACCAUCUUCAUUGCUGUCCUAUAGAUAAAAAACCAGGCAAUUCUCUAUUUGCUUUAUGCGCUGCCUCAGUGCAAUGGCUAUGUCCCAAAGUGAUGCACUCAAAAUGUCAAGUACAAACCCAAAACUGGAGAGAGGAUUCUGCAGGAGCUAUAAAUUCCCUCUUCUCCAAGGGUUAUUUCUGCACUCACCCUUGGUGUGCACAACUUAUUUCUGUGCUUGGGUUAAUGUUUAGGUUUUCUUUGUAAAUCAUCUUUUAUUCUAAAAACUAAAUUGAAAUCCUCCUGUUCACUUAUUAGAUUUGUGGGUUCUGUAGAUUGUACAACAUUUUUAAGUGGGAGAAUUCUGUUUUGAGUUAUAGUUCUUCAAGUGAAGUGUUUAUUUGCUCUAUAACCUUUCCUGUCUGUACUUUCAGAAAGGCAGUCCAGCAGUGGUUUAGGGGCUCAUAUUUUGUAAUUAGUGUCUUAUAAUUAAAAUAUGUUUUCAUAUGAUUUUAAUUUAUCCAGUAUGUACACCAAGCUCUAGAUCUUUGCACAGUGUAAGUUACUACCCAGACACUGUACUUUGUUAGUACUUCAGCGUCUGAUGCGUUCUACAUUUCCUUCACACAUGUGUCUUGUUGGUGUUUCCAUUAGUGUUUAUUCUGAUCAAGUGUAUUUGUGUAAAGAUUAGGACCUGGAGCUGGUUAGCAGGUUUCAAAAGUCAUCACCUUGGAGAGAGUGAUGCUUUAGCUGUGGCAGCACGCCAG